RNAcentral lists this ribosomal RNA (256 nucleotides) under uncultured bacterium. Its description in RNAcentral is "partial 16S ribosomal RNA". It matches the Rfam family "Bacterial small subunit ribosomal RNA", at positions 521 to 776 of the family's 1533-position model. The record is from RNAcentral.
UAAUACGUAGGGUGCGAGCGUUAAUCGGAAUUACUGGGCGUAAAGCGUGCGCAGGCGGUUUUGUAAGCCAGACGUGAAAUCCCCGGGCUCAACCUGGGAAUGGCGUUUGGGACUGCAAGGCUGGAGUGUGGCAGAGGGGACUAGAAUUCCUGGUGUAGCAGUGAAAUGCGUAGAUAUCAGGAGGAAUACCGAUGGCGAAGGCAGGUCCCUGGGUUAACACUGACGCUCAUGCACGAAAGCGUGGGGAGCAAACAGG